UUUCUCAAACUAAGCUGGAACCCCUCUCGGGAAGCUCCAACCUCCUGCAAACCCCAUGACUCUAGAACCUGCAUGAGGCGUCGUUUCCCUGCCCCCUUCCAGUUGUGCCUGCCCCUCACUGCCCUCUCCGCACACAGAUUCCCUGUCCACCAGGCCAGGGAUGUGGGCGGGGGCUGGGGAGCGGCCAGAGUCGGAAUGAAAGGGCCUUUUUCUUCCACAGCUGGGAGAACAGCUGCCACCAAAGCGAGACUGGACACUCUGUGCCUAGAGCCCCCUCUGCAGCUGGCCUUUCCUCCUGGGACCCCACUUAUCCUCACUUCGCUUUCUUUUUCUUCCCUGCCUGGCUCCCGGCAGGGCCCCGGAGCAGCAGUGGGCGAGGAAAAUUUGUCACAGCAGCCAGAGGGGUUUAACAGGAGUGCAGAGGGAUAAGGGCAGCUUCUGCCCUCUGCCCAAGAGCUGGCCACCUCUUUAAAGACUGAGGGAACAGUGGGAGGAGGAACUGUGGGACAGUGUGGUACCUAUCUGUCCCCCCUCUGGAGGGGUUGACAAGGGAAAGGGCACCGGGGGGCACAGAGAUGCAGGACAGAUUGCACAUCCUGGAGGACCUGAAUAUGCUCUACAUUCGGCAGAUGGCACUCAGCCUGGAGGACACGGAGUUGCAGAGGAAGCUAGACCAUGAGAUCCGGAUGAGGGAAGGGGCCUGUAAGCUGCUGGCAGCCUGCUCCCAGCGAGAGCAGGCUCUGGAGGCCACCAAGAGCCUGCUAGUGUGCAACAGCCGCAUCCUCAGCUACAUGGGCGAGCUGCAGCGGCGCAAGGAGGCGCAGGUGCUGGGGAAGACAAGC
This 842-nucleotide long non-coding RNA is filed under the name Homo sapiens (human). Its description in RNAcentral is "non-protein coding lnc-C2orf81-5:1". The record is from RNAcentral. Lineage: Eukaryota; Metazoa; Chordata; Mammalia; Primates; Hominidae.